UCUCAAUCCCAGAUCAACAGCACAAAGGGAAGCAAACAACAAAUCUAAACAAAAUAUAAAUUAAACUAAGAUAUUAGACUAAAAAUCAAAUAGAUUAACACUAACACAAGCAUAUUUCUUUUGCAAUAUCAAUCUCAAAUUAACAACACAAAGAGAAGUAAACAACAAGUUUGAACAAAAUAUAAAUAUGAGCAACAAUCUUAGAAAAGUAAACCCAAGUCCCAAUCUGUGAAGCCCAAUGUUCUAGUGAUGGGAAGUGAAGAUGUGCUUUGGAGGAUUUUUGCAUUGAAUUUGAGGAUAGAGGCGUGCAUCAGAUGGGCAUCAGCUGGCAUCAAAUGGAGGAUAAGAGGAAGGCUUCGUCUUCGUCUUCACCUAUGUGACCUGGGUCUUCAUUUUCACGGAUCUCACCAUCGAUCAGAAACACCAUGAGGAUAGAGGAGGGUUAUGCAUUUUUUAGCGAGAUAUUGAAGAAUAAAGAGCGAAAAAGAAGUGAAGAAAGGUUUCUCGAAAUGGUUUGUGAAGGGGCGAGUCAAAGAAUGGGGAAGCAAGAAAGCUACGUGGAGGGAGGCAUGGAGAUGAGGGCUACGUGGAGGAAGUUGUUUUAG
This 605-nucleotide unclassified non-coding RNA is filed under the name Hevea brasiliensis (rubber tree). Lineage: Eukaryota; Viridiplantae; Streptophyta; Magnoliopsida; Malpighiales; Euphorbiaceae. The record is from RNAcentral.